GUGGGGAAUAUUGGUCAAUGGACGAGAGUCUGAACCAGCCAAGUAGCGUGCAGGAUGACGGCCCUAUGGGUUGUAAACUGCUUUUAUACAGGGAUAAAGUGACGUACGUGUACGUUUUUGUAGGUACUGUAUGAAUAAGGACCGGCUAAUUCCGUGCCAGCAGCCGCGGUAAUACGGAAGGUCCGGGCGUUAUCCGGAUUUAUUGGGUUUAAAGGGAGCGCAGGCUGAUGAUUAAGCGUGACGUGAAAUGUAGCCGCUCAACGGCUGAACUGCGUCGCGAACUGGUUAUCUUGAGUGAGUUCGAUGUUGGCGGAAUUCGUGGUGUAGCGGUGAAAUGCUUAGAUAUCACGAAGAACUCCGAUUGCGAAGGCAGCCAACAAGGCCUUUACUGACGCUAAAGCUCGAAGGUGCGGGUAUCGAACAGG
Molecule: ribosomal RNA, 425 nt
Filed under: uncultured rumen bacterium
Lineage: Bacteria
Description: bacterial SSU rRNA
Rfam family: Bacterial small subunit ribosomal RNA
Source: RNAcentral